UGGGGAUAAAUUUUGGAGGGAUAUCUCUAUAUUGCAGAAAGGAUUGGCUAUUCCACGGGAUAAGUCACUUUGUGAUAUUUGAUUGAAGGCACAAGUACAGAGAAUAAAGAGUGCAUCAGGUUUAUUGCUACAUCCCAUCAUUUCUCAACAUACAUUUCAGAACUCUCAGGCGACAUAUGCUGCUUAUUGUCAAUCCAGUCGCAAGCCUAUUGUGGCAUUGUGCUGCUGCUUAGUCCGAAAUAGAGAAAGCUCCAC
Molecule: long non-coding RNA, 255 nt
Filed under: Elaeis guineensis (African oil palm)
Lineage: Eukaryota; Viridiplantae; Streptophyta; Magnoliopsida; Arecales; Arecaceae
Description: long non-coding RNA (EGUI_LNC020483)
Source: RNAcentral